RNAcentral lists this ribosomal RNA (224 nucleotides) under uncultured bacterium. Its description in RNAcentral is "partial 16S ribosomal RNA". It matches the Rfam family "Bacterial small subunit ribosomal RNA", at positions 328 to 537 of the family's 1533-position model. The record is from RNAcentral.
ACGCUCGACACCUACGGGAGGCGGCAGUAGGGAAUCUUCCACAAUGGACGCAAGUCUGAUGGAGCAACGCCGCGUGAGUGAAGAAGGUCUUCGGAUCGUAAAACUCUGUUGUUAGAGAAGAACACGAGUGAGAGUAACUGUUCAUUCGAUGACGGUAUCUAACCAGCAAGUCACGGCUAACUACGUCNCGCAGCCGCGGUAAUCUGAGCGGGCGUGGCGAAGGC